Molecule: non-coding RNA, 23 nt
Filed under: Cricetulus griseus (Chinese hamster)
Lineage: Eukaryota; Metazoa; Chordata; Mammalia; Rodentia; Cricetidae
Also listed under: 1 other name
Source: RNAcentral
GGUAGAAUUCUCGCCUGCCACGC